AUCUGGGCGGCGGAAUUCAGGAUGGCUGGGGGCGAGCUUCGCGCUCGUCCGGCCGUUUGAUAUUUCCGUCGCCGUGUCGGACGUCGCGACCUGUUUGUCGUCGGUCCCUGCUCGGAGGAAUUGCGAUCGAGUUCGUUGCGCGGCGCGCUCUCGCGGCGUGCCGUACGGCGAAGACGCGACUCUCUGGCCGACGGCGGACAGUAAGUAAGGGUGUCCGGCGCCGUGUCUCGUACUCGGCGCCGGUGCCGGUCUGCGACGAUUUCUUCGGGCCUCUUUCCGACCCGUCUUGAAACACGGACCAAGGAGUCUAACGUGCGCGCGAGUCGCGGGGUUUCGAGCGUGCCACACGGUGCGCUCGUCACUCGCGAAACCCGUACGUGGAAGGCGUAAUGAAAGUGAACAGGGAAGAUGGCGUUCCGAGUCCACGUACCGUGAUCGAGUGUGUCGCGGCCGGACGUCCGCACUCCCGGGGCGUCUCAAUGGUUCGUCGCGAGUGCGGGCGGUCGUCUCUCGGGACGGCCGUCGGUUCGCGCCGGGCCGA
RNAcentral lists this ribosomal RNA (541 nucleotides) under Poliaspis callitris. Its description in RNAcentral is "eukaryotic LSU rRNA". Lineage: Eukaryota; Metazoa; Arthropoda; Insecta; Hemiptera; Diaspididae. The record is from RNAcentral.